CACGUAGGGUGCGAGCGUUGUCCGGAAUUAUUGGGCGUAAAGAGCUCGUAGGCGGUCUGUUGCGUCGGCUGUGAAAACCCGAGGCUCAACCUCGGGCCUGCAGCCGAUACGGGCAGACUAGAGUUCGGCAGGGGAGACUGGAAUUCCUGGUGUAGCGGUGAAAUGCGCAGAUAUCAGGAGGAACACCGGUGGCGAAGGCGGGUCUCUGGGCCGAUACUGACGCUGAGGCGCGAAAGCCAGGGGAGCAAACGGG
This 253-nucleotide ribosomal RNA is filed under the name uncultured bacterium. Its description in RNAcentral is "partial 16S ribosomal RNA". It matches the Rfam family "Bacterial small subunit ribosomal RNA", at positions 524 to 776 of the family's 1533-position model. The record is from RNAcentral.